CCGAAAAUCGACGAUUUUCCAAAAAUCACUGUAUAAACAUAGCUUGCCCAAAUUCUAAUGGUAAUAUUAGAGAAAUUACUGAAUAUUUUAGAUUCAUUGCGUUUGGACCAAAAAUCGACGAUUUUCCAGAAAUCACUGUAUAAACAUGGCUUGCACG
Molecule: long non-coding RNA, 157 nt
Organism: Cotesia glomerata
Lineage: Eukaryota; Metazoa; Arthropoda; Insecta; Hymenoptera; Braconidae
Exons: 3
Source: RefSeq, a predicted model, not a curated record